Molecule: ribosomal RNA, 497 nt
Filed under: uncultured bacterium
Lineage: Bacteria
Description: partial 16S ribosomal RNA
Rfam family: Bacterial small subunit ribosomal RNA
Source: RNAcentral
GACGAACGCUGGCGGCGUGCCUAAUACAUGCAAGUUGAGCGCUGAAGGUUGGUACUUGUACCAACUGGAUGAGCAGCGAACGGGUGAGUAACGCGUGGGGAAUCUGCCUUUGAGCGGGGGACAACAUUUGGAAACGAAUGCUAAUACCGCAUAAAAACUUUAAACACAAGUUUUAAGUUUGAAAGAUGCAAUUGCAUCACUCAAAGAUGAUCCCGCGUUGUAUUAGCUAGUUGGUGAGGUAAAGGCUCACCAAGGCGAUGAUACAUAGCCGACCUGAGAGGGUGAUCGGCCACAUUGGGACUGAGACACGGCCCAAACUCCUACGGGAGGCAGCAGUAGGGAAUCUUGGGCAAUGGACGAAAGUCUGACCGAGCAACGCCGCGUGAGUGAAGAAGGUUUUCGGAUCGUAAAACUCUGUUGGUAGAGAAGAACGUUGGUGAGAGUGGAAAGCUCAUCAAGUGACGGUAACUACCCAGAAAGGGACGGCUAACUACGUG